GACGAACGCUGGCGGCGUGCCUAAUACAUGCAAGUUGAGCGCUGAAGGUUGGUACUUGUACCCACUGGAUGAGCAGCGAACGGGUGAGUAACGCGUGGGGAAUCUGCCUUUGAGCGGGGGACAACAUUUGGAAACGAAUGCUAAUACCGCAUAAAACCUUUAAACACAAGUUUUAAGUUUGAAAGAUGCAAUUGCAUCACUCAAAGAUGAUCCCGCGUUGUAUUAGCUAGUUGGUGAGGUAAAGGCUCACCAAGGCGAUGAUACAUAGCCGACCUGAGAGGGUGAUCGGCCACCAUGGGACUGGGACACGGCCCAAACUCCUACGGGAGGCAGCAGGAGGGAAUCUUCGGCAAUGGGCGAAAGUCUGACCGAGCAACGCCGCGUGAGUGAAGAAGGGUGUCGGAUCGUAAAACUCUGUUGGUAGAGAAGAAAGUUGGUGAGAGUGGAAAGCUCAUCAAGUGACGGUAACUACCCAGAAAGGGACGGCUAACUACGUG
Molecule: ribosomal RNA, 497 nt
Filed under: uncultured bacterium
Lineage: Bacteria
Description: partial 16S ribosomal RNA
Rfam family: Bacterial small subunit ribosomal RNA
Source: RNAcentral